GUUGGUGUAGCUCAUUGGUAGAGUGCAUGCUUUGUAUGUAUGAUGUCCUGGGUUCAAUUCCCAUCUUCUCCC
RNAcentral lists this transfer RNA (72 nucleotides) under Dallia pectoralis (Alaska blackfish). Its description in RNAcentral is "tRNA-OTHER". It matches the Rfam family "tRNA". From Rfam's summary of the family: Transfer RNA (tRNA) molecules are approximately 80 nucleotides in length. Their secondary structure includes four short double-helical elements and three loops (D, anti-codon, and T loops). Lineage: Eukaryota; Metazoa; Chordata; Actinopteri; Esociformes; Umbridae. The record is from RNAcentral.